CACUUCAACCUUGCUCAGGUAUGAGUUACUAAGUCACAUGAAGGACAUGGAAUACCAUUUAAAUCUCUUCAGAGAGAGAGAGAGUUGCGGUCUACGCAGAUGGUAAACUGACGCAAGAAGGCCCUCAGAAGAUGCUGGCACCUUGAUCUUGGACUUCUCAGCCUCUAGAACUGCAGUACAAGCAGCAUGGCUGGGGAGGCCUCAGGAAAUUUACAAUCAUGACGGAAGGUGAAGAGGAAGAAGUCACGUCCUACAUGGCCGUAGCAGGAGGAAGAGAGUGAAGGGGAAGGUGCUACACAAUUUUAAACAGCCAGAUCUCAUGACAACUCACCCAAUAUCAUGAAAACAGCGAGGGGAAAAUCCACCCUCGUGAUCCAGUCACUUCCCCCGCGGCCCCUUUUCCAAUACUGGGGAUUACAAUUCAACAUGAGAUUUGGGCGGGGACACAAAUCCAAACCAGGUCCACUCUCUCAAUAGUCCCAAUGAGAGAUAGUGGCUUUGACUAGGGUGACAGCACUGAAGAUGGUGAGGACUGUCCAGAUUUGAGAAGUAUUUUGGAAUAGAAGAAACAGAACUUGCUGAUAGGUUCAAUGUAGAAAAUUAAUAAAAGAAGAGGACAAAGGAUGAUCCUUAAAAUCAGAGCUCAAUUAACUGGUACAUGGUAGUGUCAUUGACUGAGAAUGAUGAAGACUGGAGGAAGACUACAUGGGUUUGGAGCAAAACAUGGACAUUACGACGUACCAGGCUGGAAUGGUCAUGAUUUCAUACAGUUAUUUCAUAAAAACAACUAUAUUUCAUGAAAUAACUACAUGAAAUCCAAAAGGAGUUAUCAGGUAGGAAGUUGAAUUUAUGAGACUGGAGCUUGCAGUAGAAAAGCAGAGAUGGAAACAUAAAUUUGGGAUUAUCAGCAUAAAGAUGAUAUUGAAGCCAUGAGCCUGGAUGAGAUCAUUCAGUGAGGAAAAGGAGACAAGAGAGGAGGGCAAGAGCAUAUCCAGGAAAACUCAAAUCUUGACAGGCCUUAUUCAUUUUUAUAGCCCUAGCACCUAGUGCUGGCAAAGAGUGUCCGCUUCAGAAAUUGCUGAUAAACACAGGACCAACAUUCUGGGACUCCACACUAUGACGAAUUAAGUUAUAAAAAUUUACCACUAAGUAAAUUAUAGUAAAAACAAAGGUAAUAAAUAAUCAAAGCCCAUCAGUUCCUAGAUAUUUUACAACAUUUUACUAUUAUUUUACUGUUUACCACAUUUUACUAUUAUCUUACUAUUUACCACAUUUUACUAUUUGCUUUUCAGAUUAGUUAUUACAUCUAUUAUACUUUCCUAACUCCACUGUCAGUGAUGCCACAUUAGUAGUGGUGGGAGUAUUUACACCAUGGAAAUUGGCAAGUGCUACAAAUUUAUUAUUUUGCCAAUUGUUGGACUCAAAAAAGAGAUAGAGAAAAUGUUAAUCAGGCAGAUUCCAUUUAAAAGUGUCACAUUUAUAGUUAUCACAUUGUGAAUAGCACACAAAAAUAGGGAAAUAUUUUUCCAGUAUGUGAAAAUUAUUACCUGAUUUAGUGAAAACAUUGCUCAUAUCAAUGAUGAAUAAAUGAGGUUCUAACAAAUGUCUUCACUGUAUGACUUUCACCUUAAUCAUUAACAUAAAGGAAAAUUUCAAUCAACAUUAAUGUCAGAAUUACACUUGGGAAUUAAUUGCACUC
Molecule: long non-coding RNA, 1699 nt
Organism: Homo sapiens (human)
Lineage: Eukaryota; Metazoa; Chordata; Mammalia; Primates; Hominidae
Source: Ensembl